AGCCGCAAAGAAAUUUGACGAGAUUGACUCUGCUCCCGAAGAGAAAGCACGUGGUAUUACAAUCAACACUGCUCACG
RNAcentral lists this transfer RNA (77 nucleotides) under Prymnesium neolepis. Lineage: Eukaryota; Haptophyta; Prymnesiales; Prymnesiaceae. The record is from RNAcentral.